RNAcentral lists this ribosomal RNA (247 nucleotides) under uncultured bacterium. Its description in RNAcentral is "partial 16S ribosomal RNA". It matches the Rfam family "Bacterial small subunit ribosomal RNA", at positions 523 to 769 of the family's 1533-position model. The record is from RNAcentral.
AUACGUAGGGUGCGAGCGUUAAUCGGAAUUACUGGGCGUAAAGCGUGCGCAGGCGGAUUGUUAAGCAAGAUGUGAAAUCCCCGGGCUCAACCUGGGAACUGCAUCCAAAACUGGCGAGCUAGAGUAGGGCAGAGGGUGGUGGAAUUUCCUGUGUAGCAGUGAAAUGCGUAGAGAUGUGGAGGAACACCAAUGGCGAAGGCAGCCCCCUGGGAUGACACUGACGCUCAUGUACGAAAGCGUGGGUAGC